This 253-nucleotide ribosomal RNA is filed under the name uncultured prokaryote. Its description in RNAcentral is "partial 16S ribosomal RNA". It matches the Rfam family "Bacterial small subunit ribosomal RNA", at positions 525 to 777 of the family's 1533-position model. The record is from RNAcentral.
ACGGGGGGAGCAAGCGUUGUUCGGAUUUACUGGGCGUAAAGCGUGCGCAGGCGGUUGUGCAAGACAGAUGUGAAAUCCCCGGGCUUAACCUGGGAAUUGCAUUUGUGACUGCACGGCUAGAGUGUGUCAGAGGGAGGUAGAAUUCCACGUGUAGCAGUGAAAUGCGUAGAUAUGUGGAGGAAUACCGAUGGCGAAGGCAGCCUCCUGGGAUAACACUGACGCUCAUGCACGAAAGCGUGGGGAGCAAACAGGA